AAAUCAUGGUAUUAGCACUGCCUUAAAAGUUAUCUAAAAUGCUCCCACGCCUCAUAUAGGGAUUCAUACUCAUACUGUUUGUAGCUAGAUAUUUUUGUGGUGAGCU
Abrus precatorius (Indian licorice) is the source of this 106-nucleotide small nucleolar RNA. The record is from RefSeq and is a predicted model, not a curated record. Lineage: Eukaryota; Viridiplantae; Streptophyta; Magnoliopsida; Fabales; Fabaceae.